CGCGUAGGCGGCUGUCCAAGUCGGGUGUGAAAGCCCGGGGCUCAACCCCGGAAUAGCACUCGAGACUGGGCGGCUUGAGGACGGGAGAGGAUGGUGGAAUUCCCAGUGUAGAGGUGAAAUUCGUAGAUAUUGGGAAGAACACCGGUGGCGAAGGCGGCCAUCUGGACCGUUUCUGACGCUGAGGCGCGAAAGCGUGGGGAGCAAACAGGAUUAGAUACCCUGGUAGUCCACGCCGUAAACGAUGAGUGCUAGACGUUGGGGCGCGUAGCGCUUCGGUGUCGCAGCUAACGCAUUAAGCACUCCGCCUGGGGAGUACGGCCGCAAGGUUAAA
RNAcentral lists this ribosomal RNA (331 nucleotides) under uncultured bacterium. RNAcentral's name for it is "bacterial SSU rRNA". It matches the Rfam family "Bacterial small subunit ribosomal RNA", at positions 568 to 898 of the family's 1533-position model. The record is from RNAcentral.